This 735-nucleotide ribosomal RNA is filed under the name uncultured bacterium. RNAcentral describes it as "bacterial SSU rRNA". It matches the Rfam family "Bacterial small subunit ribosomal RNA", at positions 60 to 794 of the family's 1533-position model. The record is from RNAcentral.
AGUCGACGGUGACGGAGGGCUUGCCCUUCUGAUCAGUGGCGAACGGGUGAGUAACACGUGAGUAACCUGCCCUUCACUCUGGGAUAACGCUGGGAAACCGGUGCUAAUACUGGAUACGACCUACUCGGGCAUCCGAUGUGGGUGGAAAGAUUUAUUGGUGGAGGAUGGACUCGCGGCCUAUCAGCUUGUUGGUGAGGUAAUGGCUCACCAAGGCGACGACGGGUAGCCGGCCUGAGAGGGCGAUCGGCCACACUGGGACUGAGACACGGCCCAGACUCCUACGGGAGGCAGCAGUGGGGAAUAUCGCACAAUGGGCGAAAGCCUGAUGCAGCGACGCCGCGUGAGGGAUGAAGGCCUUCGGGUUGUAAACCUCUUUCAGCAGGGAAGAAGCAGCCGGGUUUUCUUGGUUGUGACGGUACCUGCAGAAGAAGCACCGGCUAACUACGUGCCAGCAGCCGCGGUAAUACGUAGGGUGCAAGCGUUGUCCGGAAUUAUUGGGCGUAAAGAGCUUGUAGGCGGUUUGUCGCGUCUGCUGUGAAAUUUCGGGGCUCAACCCCGAACUUGCAGUGGGUACGGGCAGACUAGAGUGUGGUAGGGGAGACUGGAAUUCCUGGUGUAGCGGUGAAAUGCGCAGAUAUCAGGAGGAACACCGAUGGCGAAGGCAGGUCUCUGGGCCACUACUGACGCUGAGAAGCGAAAGCAUGGGGAGCGAACAGGAUUAGAUACCCUGGUAGA